UCUGCUUUCUUCCUGCCCUC
Molecule: non-coding RNA, 20 nt
Filed under: Mus musculus (house mouse)
Lineage: Eukaryota; Metazoa; Chordata; Mammalia; Rodentia; Muridae
Source: RNAcentral